UGAAAGGGUUACUUUUGGCCACAGUUCGCUUAGAAUUUUGUAAAAAUGGGACAUAAAUCGUUAGCUGAGAAUAUUAGCUUCUCAAAGCAGUCUGCACAACGUUCUGCGAUGUUAUUCAUAGUAAUUCAUAGCACGAAUUCAUCGCGAAAAAACAAUCACCGUGAAGUCAAAGGAACUGAGGUUUGCCAAUCCAUUUACUUCGAUUCAUUCGCCCCUGAUCCAUGGAAACUCUUUGAAACUAAGUACUUAAUGCUGCCUGGCAGGCAAACUAACGCAAUCUCGACACGAGCAAAGCUAAA
Molecule: small RNA, 299 nt
Filed under: Drosophila yakuba
Lineage: Eukaryota; Metazoa; Arthropoda; Insecta; Diptera; Drosophilidae
Description: GE29204
Source: RNAcentral